AGAAUCAACGCUGGCGGCGUGCCUAACACAUGCAAGUCGAACGAGAAAGUGGAGCAAUCCAUGAGUAAAGUGGCGCACGGGUGAGUAACACGUGACUAACCUACCCUUGAGUGGGGGAUAACCUAGAGAAAUCUGGGCUAAUACCGCAUAAUACCUUCGGGUCAAAGGAGCAAUUCGCUUAAGGAGGGGGUCGCGGCCGAUUAGUUAGUUGGCGGGGUAAUGGCCCACCAAGACUAUGAUCGGUAUCCGGCCUGAGAGGGGCGCGACGAACGACGACCUGGAACGUGAACACGGUCCAGACUCCUACGGGAGGCAGCCAGUGGGAAUUUGCGCAAUGGGGGAAACCCUGACGCAGCAACGCCGCGUGGAGGAUGAAGCCCCUUGGGGUGUAAACUCCUUUCGAUCGGGAAGAUAAUGACGGUACCGGAAGAAGAAGCCCCGGCUAACUUCGUGCCAGCAGCCGC
This 464-nucleotide ribosomal RNA is filed under the name uncultured bacterium. RNAcentral describes it as "SSU rRNA". It matches the Rfam family "Bacterial small subunit ribosomal RNA", at positions 26 to 518 of the family's 1533-position model. The record is from RNAcentral.